This 901-nucleotide ribosomal RNA is filed under the name uncultured bacterium. RNAcentral describes it as "bacterial SSU rRNA". It matches the Rfam family "Bacterial small subunit ribosomal RNA", at positions 1 to 901 of the family's 1533-position model. The record is from RNAcentral.
GCCCUUAGAGUUUGAUCCUGGCUCAGGAUGAACGCUGGCGGCGUGCCUAAUACAUGCAAGUCGAACGAAUCUCUUUUAGAGAUGAGUGGCGAACGGGUGAGUAAUACAUAGGUAACCUGCCCCUGUGCGGGGGAUAACAGGAGGAAACUCCUGCUAAUACCGCAUAGCCAUGAGCACCGCAUGGAGCUCAUGCCAAAUAUCCUUUAUGGGAUAGCGCAGGGAUGGACCUAUGGCGCAUUAGCUGGUUGGCGGGGCAACGGCCCACCAAGGCAACGAUGCGUAGCCGGCCUGAGAGGGCGGACGGCCACAUUGGGACUGAGACACGGCCCAGACUCCUACGGGAGGCAGCAGUAGGGAAUUUUCGGCAAUGGGGGAAACCCUGACCGAGCAACGCCGCGUGAGCGAAGAAGGCCUUCGGGUCGUAAAGCUCUGUUGUAAAGGAAGAACGGCGCAUACAGGAAAUGGUAUGCGAGUGACGGUACUUUACCAGAAAGCCACGGCUAACUACGUGCCAGCAGCCGCGGUAAUACGUAGGUGGCGAGCGUUAUCCGGAAUCAUUGGGCGUAAAGAGGGAGCAGGCGGCCGCAAGGGUCUGUGGUGAAAGACCGAAGCUAAACUUCGGUAAGCCAUGGAAACCGGGCGGCUAGAGUGCGGAAGAGGAUCGUGGAAUUCCAUGUGUAGCGGUGAAAUGCGUAGAUAUAUGGAGGAACACCAGUGGCGAAGGCGACGGUCUGGGCCGCAACUGACGCUCAUUCCCGAAAGCGUGGGGAGCAAAUAGGAUUAGAUACCCUAGUAGUCCACGCCGUAAACGAUGGUCACUAAGUGUCGGGGGUCAAACCCCGGUGCUGCAGUCAACGCAAUAAGUGACCCGCCUGAGUAGUACGUUCGCAAGAAUGAAACU